RNAcentral lists this ribosomal RNA (254 nucleotides) under uncultured bacterium. RNAcentral describes it as "partial 16S ribosomal RNA". It matches the Rfam family "Bacterial small subunit ribosomal RNA", at positions 524 to 776 of the family's 1533-position model. The record is from RNAcentral.
UACGGGGGGAGCAAGCGUUGUUCGGAUUUACUGGGCGUAAAGGGCGCGUAGGCGGUCAGCACAAGUCAGUUGUGAAAUCUCCGGGCUUAACUCGGAAAGGUCAACUGAUACUGUGCGACUAGAGUGCAGAAGUGGCAACUGGAAUUCUCGGUGUAGCGGUGAAAUGCGUAGAUAUCGAGAGGAACACCUGCGGCGAAGGCGGGUUGCUGGGCUGACACUGACGCUGAUGCGCGAAAGCCAGGGGAGCGAACGGG